RNAcentral lists this ribosomal RNA (407 nucleotides) under uncultured bacterium. RNAcentral describes it as "partial 16S ribosomal RNA". It matches the Rfam family "Bacterial small subunit ribosomal RNA", at positions 30 to 526 of the family's 1533-position model. The record is from RNAcentral.
AUUGAACGCUGGCGGCAGGCCUAACACAUGCAAGUCGAGCGGAGCGGCGGAAGGGUGAGUAAUGCCUAGGAAUCUGCCUGGUAGUGGGGGAUAACGUCCGGAAACGGGCGUUAAUACCGCAUACUAUCAGAUAAGGCUAGGUCGGCUUGGCUAGUUGGUGGGGUAAAGGCCUACCAAGGCGACGAUCCGUAACUGGUCUGCGAGGAUGAUCAGUAACACUGGAACGGAGACACGGUCCAGACUCCGACGGGAGGCAGCUGUGGGGAAUAUUGGACAAGGGGCGAAAGCCUGAUCCAGCCCUGCCGCGUGUAUGAAGAAGGUCUGCGGAUUGUAAAGCACUUUAAGUUGGGAGGCGUUACCAACAGAAUAAGCACCGGCUAACUACGUGCCAGCCGCCGCGGUAAUAC